Molecule: ribosomal RNA, 94 nt
Filed under: Micromonospora pattaloongensis
Lineage: Bacteria; Bacillati; Actinomycetota; Actinomycetes; Micromonosporales; Micromonosporaceae
Also listed under: 2 other names
Source: RNAcentral
AACGCCCGGUAACAUUCCGAACCCGGAAGCUAAGCCCUCCAGCGCCGAUGGUACUGCACCCGGGAGGGUGUGGGAGAGUAGGACACCGCCGGAC